AGUUUUUUGGACAGAGACGAGAUUCGGUGUGAUCGGCUUAUCUAAAGCUUCAUAUUUCACGACUUCGACCGAGAUUCAACAGACCAUACAUACUCGGCAGAUUGUGCUCAAUCAAGACAAAGCAAACAUGGCUCACAAUUUUGAACUGCUGUGCCGUCUUGCAAGAGAGUGAGAUUCAGCAACACAUAGAAAGACCACAGCAUUGAUUAAGAGACAGGAAGAAUCCAUUUGAAUACUACGAGGAUGAACCUCUCAGAGUGGGGUACCAACAGAGAGAACCACACAUUGCCUGUCAUGUUACAGGUUUUGACAGGACUUUGUUUUAUGUCAUUGGUACCUUUUAGAAGAUGCAAGCAGACGAAGCAACUAUAUCACAGUCAUCCGUGUGCAGAAUCAUCAAAGAUUUUUCUGAGGCAAUAGCAAGGAGUAACAGUCAAUGAAGUUUCCGAUGACGAGAAAUUCAAACCACCCAGCGACAAUUUGAUGAUUGCUACAGGUUUCCAAGAGUCAUAGGUGCUAUCGAUUGGGGCCAAUCCAGGCCAUGUCUGCAUCAGGAGUCCUGAUGGGGAACAAGCCCUGUACUUAGCAGGAAGAACAGGUCUUCUGUAAAUGUAUAGGUAUCCGUUGCUCCCCUCUUUGAUGAAUUCCUGCCUGCAUUCUGUUGUCAAUAGAAAAGGACGGUGUGCUACGGGUAUAAGCAUUCCAUUGGAUUAUCUGUGCAUGAAGGUGGACACUUGUGAUAAAAAAUGGUAGCUUGGUUGUAGUGGCGUACCUAGGAUUUUCCACAGGGAGGGCAAAACCGUUCGGCCGAAAAAUUUUACAAGUAAAAAAAAAAAAGGUCUUCAAUCACAAAUAAAGGAUUUCGUACCAGAAAAAAAAUUGACAAGCAAAAAAAAAAGGUGUUCAAGCUCGUCAGGGGGGCAGGUAUACGUCCUUUGCAUGGGUUGUGGCUCGUCAGGGGGGGGGGGGGGGGCAGAGUGCCCCCCCCCCUUAGGUACGCUAGUGCUUGGUUGAUAGGAUGUAUUCAUGCAUUCCGAUUUAUCAUUAGUGAUCAAAUGACCAUCUUGCUUUUUAAAAACCCAAGUUCACAACAUUUUUCUUGUUUGAUAAAAGGUUUGGGACGUGAAUUCCAGGAUAUAAAUGACACAUAUGAUGGGCUAAUGUAUAAGCAGGGACAUGAGAGGUAUAAGCAACAUUUUUUUCAUGCUUAAUUAAGUUUGGCAUGAGAUGGACUUGGUCUUUCUUAUGAUUCAAGUCUAUUUUAUACCAAUUUUGUUUUAAUCAACAAUCAAUGUUUUAAGUCUCAUGAUUUCAAUUUCAAAACCUCUUUGUUAAUUAAAUAUUCAUUUUUCCUUAGCAUUUGCAUCUUCUUAAUUUAUCAAAUUUAAAUUAUAAGAUAUCAUUUUUGCUGAAUAUCCUUUUUUUCACCUAUUUUCAUAGGCCCUAAGAUACAUUUCUGUAGUAAGCACUAUAAAUACAUUGCAAGCUAUUAUCAUUUGUUUGAUAUUACUAUUUUAUAGAAUCAUCUUUUAAUUUCUUUCAGAAAGAUAUUUGACAAAUUACUUGUGAUAUCCAUGCUUUAGCUGUAGAGUUUAAAAUCUUCAUUAAACUUUAUUUAAUCCGUUGUUUAUCUAUUUUCAUUCAGAGUUUCUGAAAACGUAAACAUAUCAUUUGUAUCAUUAUGUAAAGAAUUUCAAUCUACCUUAAAAAGUAAUGCACUAAAUAAACUGCUCUGUCUACUACAAAUG
Long non-coding RNA from Lytechinus pictus (painted urchin), 1748 nucleotides. RefSeq lists it as uncharacterized. The transcript is spliced from 5 exons. NCBI's taxonomy places the organism in Eukaryota, Metazoa, Echinodermata, Echinoidea, Temnopleuroida, Toxopneustidae. The record is from RefSeq and is a predicted model, not a curated record.